Molecule: ribosomal RNA, 322 nt
Filed under: Acetobacteraceae bacterium
Lineage: Bacteria; Pseudomonadati; Pseudomonadota; Alphaproteobacteria; Acetobacterales; Acetobacteraceae
Description: partial 23S ribosomal RNA
Rfam family: Bacterial large subunit ribosomal RNA
Source: RNAcentral
AGUGGUACGUGAGCUGGGUUUAGAACGUCGUGAGACAGUUCGGUCCCUAUCUGCCGUGGGUGAAGGAGACUUGCGAGGCGCUGUCCCUAGUACGAGAGGACCGGGAUGGACGCACCUCUGGUGCACCGGUUGUCGCGCCAGCGGCACAGCCGGGUAGCUAUGUGCGGACUGGAUAACCGCUGAAAGCAUCUAAGCGGGAAACCACCCUCUAAACCAGGUCUCCCCACAGGGCCGUGCAAGACCAGCACGUCGAUAGGCCAGACGUAGAAGUGCGGCAACGCAUGCAGCGAACUGGUCCUAAUCGCCCAAACGGCUCAAAACC